AGACUCUGUUCUGGCUUGGUGACAGCAUGAUCUGCCAGCUGCUUCCCUGCAGACAGCAGCCACUUGCGAAAUUCUGCUUCAGUGACAUUUUACAGUGCUGGAUGUGUGAGCGAUCGUUUGGCCCAUGUAUCCUUUAAGGGAAGAAAACAACUUCAUGACUGCCUUACCAAUUUGCAUUGGAUUAGAAUAUUGAGAUCCCAGAGGAUGUCUAACUACUCCUCUUUGGAUUCUAUAGGGUUUACUUCUGAGCAAGCUGUAGUCAAUGGACAAGUCUCUUCCUUUUUGAUCUUGACUGCCUCCUUACUGGGUCAAGAUGAAGAAACUGAGGCAAAUAAGGUGAAAUGACUUGACCAAGUCCACUAAACCAGUGAUCCUUUGUCUGGAAUGACCUCACCGCCAUCUUGCAAUACAUCACAUUAGCAAAGAGGCUGAUGGGAAGUUUUGUAUUCUAUAGCUAGAAGGAGGUACUGAAGAACUAAUGAAAGGACCUAACAACUGGGCUAAACUUGUGGCCUUUUAGUCCCACGGAGAGGAGGGACCAAGAAAGUAUGAAUACAUACCAAUGCUAGGCAAGUCAAUUGAGAGUGAAUGGUGCUGUUACCCUGAACUGAAUAAAAUAAUGAGCAAUUGAA
This is a long non-coding RNA of Monodelphis domestica (gray short-tailed opossum), 632 nucleotides long. RefSeq lists it as uncharacterized. The record is from RefSeq and is a predicted model, not a curated record. Lineage: Eukaryota; Metazoa; Chordata; Mammalia; Didelphimorphia; Didelphidae.